GGCUGAUCUGACUGUAAUGGUGUUUAUAACUAAUUGACCACAACCAGUUACAGGUUUCUUUGUUCCUUCUUCACCGCCACUGCUUCACUUGACUAGCCUUAA
This 102-nucleotide Y RNA is filed under the name Propithecus coquereli (Coquerel's sifaka). RNAcentral describes it as "Y RNA (ENSPCOG00000009794.1)". It matches the Rfam family "Y RNA". From Rfam's summary of the family: Y RNAs are components of the Ro ribonucleoprotein particle (Ro RNP), in association with Ro60 and La proteins. The Y RNAs and Ro60 and La proteins are well conserved, but the function of the Ro RNP is not known. In humans the RNA component can be one of four small RNAs -- hY1, hY3, hY4 and hY5. Lineage: Eukaryota; Metazoa; Chordata; Mammalia; Primates; Indriidae. The record is from Rfam by way of RNAcentral.